RNAcentral lists this ribosomal RNA (674 nucleotides) under Scrippsiella trifida. RNAcentral's name for it is "LSU rRNA". It matches the Rfam family "Eukaryotic large subunit ribosomal RNA", at positions 1 to 662 of the family's 3401-position model. Lineage: Eukaryota; Dinophyceae; Peridiniales; Peridiniaceae. The record is from RNAcentral.
GAAGACAUGAAGUUAGGUCAGCAAACCCGCUGAAUUUAAGCAUAUAAGUAAGCGGAGGAAAAGAAACUAAAUAGGAUUCCCUCAGUAAUGGCGAAUGAACAGGGAUGAGCUCAGUAUGGAAAUUGGGGCCUGUGGCCUUGAAUUGUAGUCUGGAGAUGUACCACCAACUGGGGCGCAGAUGUAAGCCUCUUGGAAAAGAGCAUCAAUGAGGGUGAGAGUCCCGCUUGGCAUCUGCAGUCCCCAGUGCACGGUGUACCUUCUAAGAGUCACGUUCCUCGGGAUUGGAGCGCAAAUUGGGUGGUAAGUUUCAUCUACAGCUAAAUAUUGUUUCGAGACCGAUAGCAAACAAGUACCAUGAGGGAAAGGUGAAAAGGACUUUGAAAAGAGAGUUAAAAGUGCCUGAAAUUGCUGAAAGGGAAGCAAAUGGAACCAGCGUAACUUGGCGAGAUUGCUGCGUGUCAAUGUGAUUGCUUGCUACUUCAACGUAAGUGUGGUAGUAAGUCUUGAACAGGACAUGCGCGGUGCUUCUUGCCUUGUGUGCCACCUUCAGUUCGCAGCUGGGGAAAACUUCAGGGACAUGGUAGCCUGUCUCCGGGUGGGUGAACGUGUUUGCUGGAACUCAUUUGCGGAUUGCUUGGUGACUAAAUGGUUCCAUCUGACCCGUCUUGAAACAC